GAUGAACGCUGGCGGCGUGCCUAACACAUGCAAGUCGAGCGAAGCACUUACUUUAGAUUUCUUCGGAAUGACGAAGUUUGUGACUGAGCGGCGGACGGGUGAGUAACGCGUGGGCAACCUGCCCUGUACAGGGGGAUAACAGUUAGAAAUGACUGCUAAUACCGCAUAAGCCCACAGCUUCGCAUGAAGCAGUGGGAAAAACUCCGGUGGUACAGGAUGGGCCCGCGUCUGAUUAGCUAGUUGGUAAGGUAACGGCUUACCAAGGCGACGAUCAGUAGCCGACCUGAGAGGGUGACCGGCCACAUUGGGACUGAGACACGGCCCAAACUCCUACGGGAGGCAGCAGCGGGGAAUAUUGCACAAUGGGGGAAACCCUGAUGCAGCGACGCCGCGUGAGCGAUGAAGUAUUUCGGUAUGUAAAGCUCUAUCAGCAGGGAAGAAAGUGACGGUACCUGACUAAGAAGCCCCGGCUAACUACGUG
RNAcentral lists this ribosomal RNA (481 nucleotides) under uncultured bacterium. RNAcentral describes it as "partial 16S ribosomal RNA". It matches the Rfam family "Bacterial small subunit ribosomal RNA", at positions 28 to 507 of the family's 1533-position model. The record is from RNAcentral.